This 380-nucleotide unclassified non-coding RNA is filed under the name uncultured Oligoflexales bacterium. Its description in RNAcentral is "contains 16S-23S intergenic spacer region". The record is from RNAcentral. Lineage: Bacteria; Pseudomonadati; Bdellovibrionota; Oligoflexia; Oligoflexales.
UCCGUGUUAACCACGGCAGUCUCCUUAGAGAGCCCAACUGAAUGCUGGCAACUAAGGACAAGGGUUGCGCUCGUUGCGGGACUUAACCCAACAUGUCACCACACGAGCUGACGACAGCCAUGCAGCACCUGUCUAAACGCUGUAUUGCUACAGAAGCCAUAUCUCUAUGGCGGGCAUCUAGAUGUCAAACCCAGGUAAGGUUCUUCGCGUUGCUUCGAAUUAAACCACAUGAUCCACCGCUUGUGCGGGCCCCCGUCAAUUCCUUUGAGUUUUAGUCUUGCGACCGUACUUCCCAGGCGGGGUACUUAUUGCGUUAGCUCCGGCUCAGCGGGGGUCAAGACCCACCAAGCCUAGUACCCAUCGUUUACAGCGUGGACUAC